AGUGAACGCUGGCGGUAGGCCUAACACAUGCAAGUCGAACGGCAGCACAGUAAGAGCUUGCUCUUACGGGUGGCGAGUGGCGGACGGGUGAGGAAUACAUCGGAAUCUACUUUUUCGUGGGGGAUAACGUAGGGAAACUUACGCUAAUACCGCAUACGACCUACGGGUGAAAGCAGGGGAUCUUCGGACCUUGCGCGAUUGAAUGAGCCGCUGUCGGAUUAGCUAGUUGGCGGGGUAAAGGCCCACCAAGGCGACGAUCCGUAACUGGUCUGAGAGGAUGAUCAGCCACACUGGGACUGAGACACGGUCCAGACUCCUACGGGAGGCAGCAGUGGGGAAUAUUGGACAAUGGGCGCAAGCCUGAUCCAGCCAUACCGCGUGGGUGAAGAAGGCCUUCGGGUUGUAAAGCCCUUUUGUUGGGAAAGAAAAGCAGCAGGUUAAUACCCCGCUGUUCUGACGGUACCCAAAGAAUAAGCACCGGCUAACUUCGUG
RNAcentral lists this ribosomal RNA (492 nucleotides) under uncultured bacterium. Its description in RNAcentral is "partial 16S ribosomal RNA". It matches the Rfam family "Bacterial small subunit ribosomal RNA", at positions 29 to 507 of the family's 1533-position model. The record is from RNAcentral.